CAAGCCUUCUGAGACAUGGAGUCAGAUCCUCAUUUCUUCCCUCAUCCUCAGACCCCUGUGAGCACUGUCACACCCUGCUCUUUGAAAGAUGCAUCAAAGAUGAGAAUGCACUAGUAGAACUGAAAUAAAAUCUUUUUAAUUAAAAAAAAAAUUAAAACCUUUCCGAAAUUUACAGGAUUUUAAGGGAUAAAGGCACAGUUCCUUCUAAAUGGUUUACAUGAAACAGAAUUUAAAGCAAGAAAGUUUUUGUAGGCAAUGAAGCAGUAUCCAGUAGAGGAAAAAUACAGUGCCUAAACAGGCAGAAGAAUAAGGCAGCAUAGAAAUCCUGCCAAUCCUCUUGGUGACACAGGGAUUGGGAGAGGAUAGCAAUUAUUUGAGGUCAUAGUUAUUGGAUAAGCAUAUGUUGGUGUUACUUGUUUUAAUCAACUUUGAAAGGGUAUUUGGAUAUACAUUAGACUCAAUCAAACAGCUGCCAAAUUCCAUUCCAGAGAGAGGUAAAUUUUAAGAAGACAGUUUUGGUUUUUCAUAACUUGCAGCCACACUGGUAACAUAGCUACAGACAUUUCCAUUCUAUGUAACUGCCUUGGCUUCCUACCUGAAUUACAGAAAACCUAAACAGCAAAAGCCCCGCUUUUAACUUUGACCUAAGUGACAAAACCCAGUUCUUAUCUGUGCAGUAGCAGUAUUCUCCCCACUUUUGCUAUUUUUAAGUGGUUUAGAGGAUUUUUUUUUUUAUUUUUAAAUGGUUUAGAUCUUAUUUAGGUCUAACAAGCUUUUCUAAACAGAGACUCUUAUGUAUUCAAGUGAUACUUAACUUGGGAAGACAUCCUGCCAUUCCAUGAGUUUCACUUCUUUGCAAUAUGAAUAUUUCACUUAAAACUAAAAUUCCUGGUGGCAAAGAUACAUGAAUUAAAAGGACUAGGGAAUGUAAGAAGUGAUCUCUGACUUGUGAACAGACUGAUAUUUUUUUUUCUUCUUCUAAACCGAAGAAUAUACAAAAGUGUUGUUACCCAUUACAUCAUUGUAUUGACAGACUCCAUUUUCACACUGAAAAUAUCUGUAUAUUUUAACAACUCAGUUUCUGCAUUUUCAUUUAAAAUUUAUUUUCUUUAUGAGAAAAGGGAACAGCUGUUCUAUUCUUAAAAUCAUAUUCCAUACUUCCAGACAAUGAACUAAAUUGUAAUGACACAAAUAAAACUACUCCUUGACUAGA
This is a non-coding RNA of Zonotrichia albicollis (white-throated sparrow), 1213 nucleotides long. The record is from RefSeq and is a predicted model, not a curated record. Lineage: Eukaryota; Metazoa; Chordata; Aves; Passeriformes; Passerellidae.